GGCUGGUCUGAAGGUAGUGAGUUAUCUCAAUUGAUUGUUCACAGCCAGUUACAGAUCGAACUCAUUGUUCUACUCUUUCUCCCCUUCUCACUAUUGCACUUGACUAGUCUUAA
RNAcentral lists this Y RNA (113 nucleotides) under Saimiri boliviensis boliviensis (Bolivian squirrel monkey). RNAcentral describes it as "Y RNA (ENSSBOG00000006028.1)". It matches the Rfam family "Y RNA". Rfam says of the family: Y RNAs are components of the Ro ribonucleoprotein particle (Ro RNP), in association with Ro60 and La proteins. The record is from Rfam by way of RNAcentral. Lineage: Eukaryota; Metazoa; Chordata; Mammalia; Primates; Cebidae.